AAGGACAGACUUGUUAUGAAAAUAACAAAUGUACUCAUAAAGUUGCCAAAGAGAGUUGACGAAGAAGAGAUGAACGGAAUACAGAGCAUCUCCAGGAUAAUGCACUAUUACUAGGACAGCACAGAAGCACCCAUUUUAUACAGAAAUACUGAAUACAGACCAUGAAUAUCCCAUGAUGAAGCCCCUAAUAUUACAACGAGGAGCAAACGACACUAGAGUUGGCGCCAGUGGCGUACAAUACUUAACCCAGCCAUCAAGUAUACUUCCGAGAACUAGUCAGAGCUCGACAAAGCAACGGUGACAGACAUGAACGACAUACGAUAUAAUCAUAGAUAGACACAAUACAAUUUAUGUGAAGGCUACAGCUUAUAGCUCGUAGAUAGUGGAAUUUAUUCAACUUAAACGCGUAAAUAGGGCAGGCUGGGCACUUGCUACAGCGCAGCACAUACCUCAGGCAACAGCGACGGCAAAUUAUAUUUGGGCAACUAGGGGUUAUUAUAUCUUGGCCUUUUCUCUUCCCUUGCAACUCACCUUGCUGUCGGCUGGCCGGGUAGCAUCGGAAUUGGCACUGGCAUCGGCAUUGUCAUAGCUGUAAUAUAUUUGAUUCUACUUGAACAUCCACUGCUAUGUAAAUUUUCUUGUAUCUAUUCCCUUGUAUGUGUCACCCAUUACUGCUGAUAAUAUAUUCCAAUGACCCUUUCCUAGCUCCCACUACACAUAGUUAUCAAUGAGCUGUCUUAGUCUGUGCUUAUAUUUUUAUUACGAACAGUCAUCGGUCUGCUGGUAAACUGAAACAGCAAACAUGAACAAGUUCUCUCCUAGUCUGUGCUUAUAUUUUCAUUAAGCAAAGUUCAUCGGUAUGCUGGUAAACAGAAAAGCAAACAUGAACAAGUUCUCUCCUCAUUGUUCUUCUGACGUGAACAACUUCCCUACUCAUUAAUAUUCUGGCUCAACAGUCUCUGCACACAAUCUUGUCUUGUCUUAUUUUCUUGAAGGCAUAUGAAGGAUCUCUGCACUUUGCCAAUCUUCUUAAAUGAACCGUGAAAUGAUCUCCUUCCUCCAGGAGGUGACGUGGUUCACAGCAUCCAUACUUUUGCGUUAAGUUGAGAGUAAACCAGCAGCUCUUCGCAAGCAGGGACAUAAAUCAGCUGAAAUCUUUAAGAGAGUGCAAAUACAAUUGCACACUGAUCAGGCCACCAAUGGUUGAAUGAUUUUGACUCUUGAUCUCCUAUCUCAAAUCCAGUUGAAAUAUUUCCCAUUUAUUGUCUUAGUCAUAUUUUCUUGACAAGAAAAGGUAUGAAGGAUAUCUGCACUUCAAGUUUCUUGAAUGAUCCAUGAAAAGAUAUUUAUCCAGGUGGUAAGAGCAAUCCAGACGCUCUUUGCAAGCACGGACAUAAAUCAGCUGAAAUCGUUAAGAGAGUGCAAAAACAAUUGCAUGCUGAUGAGGCCACCAAUGGUUUGACUGAUUUCGACUCAUGCUCUCAUACCUCAAAUACAGUUGAAAUAUUUUCCGUUCGUUGAUCAAAUUUCCAGUGGCCACAUGUUCAAUCUAAAGUUCCUGUGGAGUCAUGGUUUGUCAACUUGCGGUUAGUCACGACAAUUCACUGUUCUCACACAAAUUCAAGGAAACUAUCUGCAGUUUCCACACCACCUCUGUACCAAAGGGAUCAUCCACUUUCGCAGACUAUGGCUUUUCUCUGGUUUCUUCUCUACUCACUCAGCAUCUGUUCCCCUACCCUCCUCCUGAUGCAAAUAGAGCCCUUACACAAUUGCAAUACACUCCACUUACCUCAAGCUGUCGAGACACGCCCAAUUUGAUGGUCCAAUCAGGAACUAUAAUCAACACAAACUCACUUCUCAACAGGGCACGCAAUUAUUAAUUUGAUCAACAAGCACAUCAUCAAACUGGACAGAUCUCAUCUGCCGGUGGCCAAAUUCCAGAUCUGCUAAUCCGAGCACGCCGGCAAGCCAAAGCAGACCAUGUGACAUCAAGCCGGCAAAAAAAGGGAAGAAAAACAGCCAAGAUACAGGAACGACCUAAUAGUUUGCCCCCAGAUCUAACGCCCGACGCCGCUGUUAGCACCGAAGCACGUACCUCGCGGCAGCCAGCGCCCAGCCGCCGUCUAAUAUAGCCACUAGUUGGCGACGUCCCCGCGCUCGGCGGCGGCCGACGCGUCCUGCAGCUGCUGGUACGGCUUGUCGUCGUGGACGAAGAAGACGUAGAAGCCGCCGCAGGUGGUGGCGGCGGCCAUCGCCCAGACCAGGAGCUUGACGGCGAGCGGCAUGACCUCGGCGACCUUGUAGGUGAACAUGACGGUGAGCAGCGUGGUGAGCGCCCAGACGGCGGCCUUGAUCCGCUCCCGGCGGGGGGAGUGGCGGUCGAGGCGCUCGUAGAGGCGCAGGCAGGCGAAGAGGGCCACGAGGUCGAGGUAGGAGACGGCGACGAAGAUGACGGACCCGGCGUCGCCGUUGGAGCGGUACACGGCCAUGCCGGAGUUGAAGGUCAGGAAGACGAACCCUAGCGCCGUGAGCCACGAUAACUCUGCCAUCGCUGGUGCCGCUGCGGAUCCGUGCUGCUACCUGCGACGGAUAAGAGACGAGUCAGGGUGGAUUUAAAGGGGGCGGAGAAACGGAGAAGCCGCGACCGGCCGCGGAAUCGCCGAAGGGGGGAAAAAGAUUGGAAAGAGGAACGCACCUGAUUAUUUAUGGUUGGUGGAGACUGACGAUGAACUACGCGUCUGGAGAGCACAAGGGUUUGGGUCUUAACGUGUUUCUUUGGGUCGCUGUCGUGAGAGAUGGUGUGUCCACCGAUGUACCGAAAGCGUGUCUCGUGCACUAGACUCUUCUUUUUUCUUGUGAAGUACGUGUACGUUCUUUUUUCUGAAAAAUAUUCAGAUCUAGGAGUAUUAUAAAAAAUUCAUCAGAACCACGUACAAAACACCUCAAACACAAUAAAAAUUAAAGAGAAAUUCAUAUUACAACUCUGAAUUACCAUAUAAGAUACAACACCAAACUCCAAAGUCUUCUACUUCAUAACAUCAAACUUUCAAAAAUUGACAAGAAUUAACCCUAAACCGUUUUUGACUGGUUUCAGUCGGCCCACUAUGCCACCCUGACCUUUAACCCUGGUCAUGGGACGAGGCUUGCCUCCUCUCCCUCCUGUGCUCCCAUCCAUACUCCCGCACCAUCCAUUCUUCAUCUGACGGUUACAACAUUUUCCCUCCCUCUCGAUCCUUUUCCAGUCAAAACUAAAGCAAACAAACUCCCGUAUUUCCUUCUGCCGUGGCCCGCGCCGCUGGCACGCCCUCCCCGCACGAUCCCUUUCCAUUGAUUCAGUGCGGUAGAAACAAAAGCUAAAUACCGAGAUGAACAAAAUCAUCAUGCUACUAAGAACCAGAGCUUAAUGUUGAUGCACACAGGAAUGUGUUGCGGUGUUGCCGCAUGCCACCAAAGAAGAAAGAACACACAAAAGUUGCAUGCACCAGUCGACUAGUUGCUCAGAAGGUACAGCGACGGACGGAUCGAGGCGCCGGCGUCUCCGAUGAGUGGGCGCCAUGACGGCCACGGGAGGAGAUAGAGGCGACGACCUCGUGCUACAUCUCGGCGGCUGUGGAACUUCGUUCGGUGGUAGAGGAGGGAGAACGGGGCGGCUGACGGGAGGAGAUGAAGGCGGCAACGGGACCUUGGUCGGGGUCGCCGGGUCGGACAAUCGGCUGUCGAUCGGAACUUCGGAAGGUAUGAGGGAAGGAGACGAGAAGAAAUUACGUGCUUGAGAUGGAAUACAGACUUUUGUUUGCUUUCUUUUAGCUGAAAAAUGGUGCAGCCGCUGGAUGAGAAUUUAACUGUGCGGGAGUAUAGAUGGGAGCACGGGAGGGGAGCAGGCAAGCCUCGUCCCUAGUCAUGGGCCGGCAGUGCUAAAAAAGCCGUCAACGUGGCAGCUCCAACCGAUUGGACUCUGGCGAGGCUGAAGCUAGGCUACAUGGAGCUGGUGGGCUGGUGGGGGAUAAUUGACUCAUGGGCAUUCAGUAGGAGGCCCCUUUACGAGUCUUCCUCCUCCAAACUGACAAAAUUGACAAGAACUCCAUCCACUCAGCCACUGGAGGAGCUUCUUGGAGGCCAAAGGGGGCCACGACCGCCCCUCCAAAAGUGAAAACAAAAGUUAUUACCAUGUUUUGUCCCAUAUUCCUGUUUCUCCCCCACAAUGUUGAGAGAAUUCCUUAUUUGGCUCUUUCUUAAAUUUUGCUUUCCUUUUUGGCCCUAAAAAACAUUUUCUUCCCUUUUUGACACACAAAUUUUAUUUUGUUCCCUCCAUGACAAUUAUGGCAAUUUUGGCGACUAACACAGUGAAGUGCAACAUGAAAAGUCGCUUUUACCCCCUGCUUUAGCUCACUGGCAAAAAAAAUCCCCACCGCGCCUUCUCACCCGAGUCCACCCAAGCGCAAAAAAAAGCUGCAAGGGCCCAUAGCGUGACGUCACCACGUCGCAGGGCCCGCGUGAUUUGCAUGGUGGUUUAGCAUGGCACGAGUCUUCAAGGUCGUGGCGCCUGGGGUAGGAAAACUACCGGCCAUCACUUUCUUUCUGUACCGAAAAAAAGAGAAGAAGAUUACAGAAAAGUCGCAUUCGUAUGCGAUGCAAAACUCUCGUCUGGUCGUCUUUGUGAUCGAGUGAUUUAGCGAGUAGACCAAGGGCGUCGUCGCCGACCAGGCACUCACCUCCGGCAACACCACGCCCGCGCUUGUUGCGCAGAACGCCAACAAUAUCUACUUGUUCAUCCGCGCCGGACAGAUACGCACCAAGAUCUUCCCUUCGCUGAUUUUGAGGGAGGGGGAUGACGGGUCCGUCACGUCUCCUUGGCGACACGCUAGGUGAGUCCGCCCCACGGCGAUGGCCGGCGUGGUUCGCCGUAAACCUUCGGACGGCGACGACUCUCAGGCCAUGUCGCGGGGAGGACGUGCUCGGCUCGCACCUGGACUCGGUGGAGCUCGUGGAUGAGCGAGGGUGCACGAUGGACAGGCGGGCCAGGAGAGGGCUCGUGUUGGCCCCUGGCUCUACAAUCGUGUUCCCCUGUCAUGUCGCGUGCAUCGAGGAGGAAGACCCCGACGGGAGCGACGCCUCGAGAGCCGGCGAGGGAGGAAUUGCGGCCGGUGGGAGAGGAAAUGCGGCCGGUGGGGGAGUUAAUUCGGGCAAUACUUAUGGCCGGGUUACUCCGCUCCUUCUCGGUCCUUCACUUCCUCUCCCAGCCGUCUCGUUCACCUCUCUCCUGGUUGACGACUGCAGCGGAGAUGGUGGAGAUCAGCGAGGAGAAGUUGAGGAGGUUUGCAGGCAGGGACGCGCGCCUGCGUGCUCGCCUGAGGGAGAUCGGCUCGUGGUACACCAGCAAAAGGGAGAUGUAUGGGGAGGCGGAGGUGAUCUUCGAGGGCCUGACGGCGGCGGAGGAGCGGUCGUUGUUCGGGCAAGGUGGGCGCAAGCAUCCACUCUAGGUGCUGCUGUGGGCGAUGGAUCAGGCGGACUCGCCGGUGAGAGCUGUGGCGAGGAAGUGGGUAGCGUUAACCUCCUUCGAGACGGCGAAUCUCGCCCCGGCCAUGCGGGAGUCGACGCUCAGAUCCCGCGAGGGGUGCUGGCUCUUCCUGCUCCAGGAUCGGCCAUGGCGCCGAUCGAGAUCCGCGAAGACCCAGUGGAGCAACCACCGCAGGAGGAGGCGCGACAGAUGGAGGCGCGGAUCCCGCGACGCUCGGCUCGACUCGCCCCAACUCCGACAACACUGACCCCUCGCCGCUCGGCACGCCUCGCCGGAAUCGAUGCCUGAAGCCUUCACUAGCCCACAACCGCUUCUGGAUGUUGGCUAGCGAAGAUUCAGGUCCCGAUUCUGAUGAGGAUGAUGAUGCAGGUAAUCAUUGUGACUCCGCUCCUUCAUAUGAUCCUUCUGUCUGCAAAUAUCGCAUGCAAUUUGAGGAUGUUGAUACACAAAGCCGAAUCAGGCUUGUGAAUAGAAAAAUGAAGAAAAAAAUGAAUCGAUAUGUGCAGAGUUUACUUCUGAAGCAUGAGGGGGAUGCAGAUAGGAAGAAAAAUGAUAGGAUGUGUACCGAUUUUAGUAGGGACAUGACACAUAUUGAUUCUCCUAGUUGGGGAGAUUAUCACUGUAGUGAAAUUGAUAUGGCGCUCAUAAAAAUGAAGCCCAGAAAUCCAAUAAUCUGGGAUUAUACCAGAUUCCCUGAAUUUUUAAGUGACAUUGAACCUGAUGAUAUCAAUCCUCCCAAAAACUUAUCAAUGGUUCUAAUAGGAGAAUGGACAAGAUUGAUAAGGAAGAUAUUAGGAUUGAUAUCCCUGAGAAUUAUGCGCUGGAGGAAGUGGUUGGUGAAUUUCAGAGAGGAUGAGAGAUUCAGAGUGCUGGAAAAGAAAACAGGGAUGACAGCAGAGAAGGAGAGUGGGGGGAGAUUCGCUCUGAUAACGUGGGCUUUAAGGGCUCCUGGCCCAAUAAGGUGAGAAGUUUUGGGGGCCUAGGGAGGGGCGUGGAGGGGAUGGACAUAUAUAAAGGAGGUAUCCCACCUUUAGUUCCUGAACCUGAUUUCCUUCACCCCCAAACCCUAAAAACCUCAAGGCGGCGGCGAGCAGAGAGGCUGAGACUGAGGAAGAAGAGAUCUCCUGGGAAGAAGAAGAGAUCAUGGCCAAUAGACAAGAGAGCUGGCGCCCCAAGCCAGGGAGAGGGACAGGCUUCGGAGGGAGAGGUAAUUACUACAACAAGCCCAACAAUUCUGAGAGAGGUUUCAACAGGAUAGAUGGGAGAGAUCAAGAUAAUUUUGACUGGAGGAGUAGGGAUGGAAACUACAUAGGAGGAUCUGGGACCAACAGCAGUGGUUCUGGGGGAGAAGGGACAUCUAUGGGGAGUGGCAGGGAUCUGGAUGGCAAGGUUGGGAACUUUGGCCCAGGCAGAAUGGGGGGGGCAGCAGGAAAGAGUUCAUGUGGGGAGUGGAGAGAUGGGAUCUGGAGGUGGUUUUGCAACAGCCAAUCCUAGUGUCCCAUAGAUGGGUAUGCAGGGGGGACAGAUGCAGAUGGCAGGUGGUUUCCCUGUGAUAAAUAACUCUAGCUUCCCUCAGUUGGUACCAGUUGGAAUGGGCUUGGGACAAUUUGGGUUCAUGCCACAGGAGCAAAUGGCACAGCAAUACCAGUAUCUGCUCUCCAACAUGCCAAAACAAGAGACUUUGAAACUGCAGGGGCAACAAAAAGAUGAAGGGGAAAAAGGGGCAGCAAAGAAGAAAGAAAUAAGGAACAACAUCAAGGAACUGUUCUGUGUCAAGUGCAAAGAGCAGGGCACCUGAAGAGUGACUGCAAAAACAAAUUGUUCUGUGUGGUGUGCCAGAGAGCAUCACACAAUACUGAAGAUUGUACAGUGCUGAAACAAGCUAAACCGGUGGCCAAAUAUGUGGGAUAUGGAGCUAGGGGCCUAGGCUGCUUACUGGUGCAACACACUAAAGAUAUUGUAGCUGCUGAACAUACAAACCCCAUGGCUUUGGUGACUGUUCACUCUGGGCAGCUGAAUGAAACUACAAUUGCUUUUGGAUUCUCUAAGAUGUUUGAAUGGGGAUGGACCUGGAGAGCUAAAUUUCAAAGUCCUGUAACUUAUCUGAUGAGAUUCCCCAAUAAAGCUAAAUUGGUGGAAUUAAAAAACUUUGGAAAAUUCACUCUGCUGGGGACAGGAGCAAUGGUUGAGGUUGAUUUCUGGAGUCCAAAUGAUAAAGCCAAAGGGAAGCUACACUCUGUGUGGAUAAAAAUGUGGGGAGUGCCUGACAACCUGAGACAUUACUUGGGGAUAUGUGAGAUUGGGUCUGCUUUGGGGCCAGUGGUGGAGGUGGAUAUUGAACACAUACACUCCAGGGAGGAGAUCAAAGUGAAGGUUGGAGUGAGAGACAUACACAAGAUACCAGCAGGAACUGAGAUAACCACCAGAGACUUACUCCUGUAUGAUAUAUACUUUGAGUUUGACUCAGUUGCUGAACAAGGGUGGUACAAUUUUGAGGAGGGGAACAAAAGGAAGAUGUUUGAAUAUCUGGAGCUAGAACACUUUGAGACACAAAGAGAAAAUGACAUGCAAAAGAAAAGCAAACAAACAGACACUGGGAAACAAAAUGUGAGCCUGGGGAGUCUGGGUCUGAAACAAUAUGAGCAGGUGGUUCUGAAAUAUGGGGAGAGUUGCCAAACCAAUGAUACUCUUGAAGAGAAUAAAAAGGCAGAGAUAGUUGCAGAGAUGCAGGGGAGAGAGGAGGACCUGUUAUCUAGGUUGUAGAAAGCAGAAGAGUUAGCUGCUAGACAGUCUGCACAGCUGAUGUUGGAAGAAAAAAGGAGAAAAGAAAUGGAGAUCAUUAGGAAAACUCUGGAAAAUGAGGUAAAGAGACAACAUGAGUUGCUCCAGAUUAAUCUGAAAGGAUGUGAAGAAGUAAAAGGGUCACAAUCUGGAGAUAAGAACACUGCUGAGGGAGAAGAAGUGGAAACUCUAGAUGAAGAUAUGGGGAUUGAGGACAAACAAGAGGAGGGAGGAGAGA
RNAcentral lists this long non-coding RNA (8537 nucleotides) under Triticum aestivum (bread wheat). RNAcentral's name for it is "long non-coding RNA (TAES_LNC018180)". Lineage: Eukaryota; Viridiplantae; Streptophyta; Magnoliopsida; Poales; Poaceae. The record is from RNAcentral.